ACUGCAGCAAAAGAUGAUAUUUGCUAAAAACCAAAGAAACACGAACUCAAAAUUGCCGUGUGGGCGUCACGUCCUGUCCUUGUAUAUAUUCCCUCUCUCUCUCUUUCUCUCUCUCUCACCUUUGAAUCUAAUCACGACGAGUUAAAGAAUCCAACUGCCUCAGCCUGAUAGAUCAGAUCCAAUGUGAACGAUUUCGGAGCUGAUUUCUUUUUCCUCUUUAAUUUUGUGAACUGUUUGGGCGAUGCGUAGCUUCAAUUGACGGCAAUCGGAGCAACUUUUCAAGAAUUAAGAGAGAAACGGUGCCCAAAGUCCAGGAAUCUGUUGUGUGAAAGCUUAAAUUCUAGUUUUAUACUUUCAAAAGGAAAAUAGAAUAAACCAUCUCCAAGGAUCCAAGCAAACAACUAUAAGCUGCAAGGAAAUGGCAACACUAGUUGAGCCUCCCAAUGGGGUCAGGCCUAGAGGGAAGCAUUACUAUUCAAUGUGGCAAACAUUGUUUGAAAUUGACACAAAGUAUGUGCCAAUCAAACCCAUUGGUCGAGGAGCAUAUGGUGUUGUGUGUUCUUCUAUCAAUAGAGAAACAAAUGAGAAAGUUGCCAUAAAAAAAAUCAAUAAUGUAUUUGAGAAUCGAAUUGAUGCACUGAGAACUUUGAGGGAGUUGAAGCUCCUUAGACAUAUUCAGCAUGAAAACGUGAUUGCUUUAAAGGAUAUUAUGAUGCCGACUCAAAGGUUGAGUUUUAAGGAUGUUUAUUUAGUUUAUGAGCUCAUGGAUACAGACUUGCAUCAGAUUAUCAAAUCUGCACAACCACUGUCCAAUGACCAUUGCAAAUAUUUUCUCUUUCAGUUGCUACGAGGACUGAAGUACCUUCACUCAGCAAACAUCCUUCACCGUGACUUGAAGCCUGGGAACCUCCUUGUCAAUGCUAACUGUGACCUCAAGAUAUGUGAUUUUGGACUGGCACGAACCAGCAGAGGCAAUGAACAGUUCAUGACUGAAUAUGUUGUCACCCGUUGGUACCGUGCACCUGAGCUACUCCUUUGCUGUGACAACUAUGGAACAUCAAUUGACGUUUGGUCUGUAGGAUGCAUCUUUGCUGAAAUUCUUGGUAGGAAACCUAUUUUCCCUGGAACAGAGUGCCUUAACCAGCUAAAACUAAUAAUUAAUGUCCUUGGAAGCCAACUAGAAGCUGAUCUUGAAUUCAUUGAUAAUCCAAAAGCUAGGAGGUUCAUUAAAUCACUCCCCCACACCAAGGGUACACACUUCUCCCAACUUUAUCCCCAGGCUGAUCCUUUAGCCAUAGACUUGUUGCAAAGGAUGCUUAUUUUUGAACCAUCUAAGAGAAUUACGGUCACAGAAGCACUCCAACACCCUUACAUGUCAGGGCUUUAUGAUCCCCGUUGUAACCCACCUGCCCAAGUCCCAAUCAAUCUUGACAUUGAUGAGAAUGUCGGGGAACAAGUGAUUAGGGAGAUGAUGUGGAAUGAGAUGCUUCAUUACCAUCCUGAAGCUGCAUUUGUCAAUGCAUAGACUUGUCUUGAAGGUUAAGAAAAAUCUGAGAAAAAGAUUCUUCUGAGUCUGCUUUUGGAACUUGAAAAGGUAUGUUAAGGUGAAGAUAUCUCAACUUCUUCACGCAGUGGCAGAGCGGGAAGAUUAUCUUACAAGCUUUGAAGGAAAUGAAUGGAAACCAAGGGGCUGCAAAUGGGUAGAACCCACGAAUAUGAAAGAAUGUAUAUCAGACCUUUAUCCAUCUAGAAAAAAGGUUUCAUCCUAUUUUUCAUAAUCAACUGAAUCUGUGCGUUAUUAGGCGAACUCUCAAGAAAGCAACACCAAUCGGUCAACCUCAUAAAAGGGACAAGUAGUGUGGACACCAAACGCAAAGUCAAGUCUGAAAUUGUAAUUACUGUUAGUACACUCUAGUUUUUUUUUCUUAUCAC
This is an RNA transcript of Pistacia vera, 1932 nucleotides long. It is a transcript of the gene named mitogen-activated protein kinase 7, with no coding region annotated. The transcript has 5 exons. The record is from RefSeq and is a predicted model, not a curated record. Lineage: Eukaryota; Viridiplantae; Streptophyta; Magnoliopsida; Sapindales; Anacardiaceae.